This 237-nucleotide ribosomal RNA is filed under the name uncultured bacterium. Its description in RNAcentral is "partial 16S ribosomal RNA". It matches the Rfam family "Bacterial small subunit ribosomal RNA", at positions 99 to 334 of the family's 1533-position model. The record is from RNAcentral.
CGAACGGGUGAGUAACGCGUGAGGAACCUGCCUCAAAGAGGGGGACAACAGUUGGAAACGACUGCUGAUACCGCAUAAGCCCACGGCUCGGCAUCGAGCAGAGGGAAAAGGAACAAUCCGCUUUGAGAUGGCCUCGCGUCCGAUUAGCUAGUUGGUGAGGUAACGGCCCACCAAGGCGACGAUCGGUAGCCGGACUGAGAGGUUGAACGGCCACAUUGGGACUGAGACACGGCCCAG